RNAcentral lists this long non-coding RNA (10911 nucleotides) under Capsicum annuum. RNAcentral describes it as "long non-coding RNA (CANN_LNC022006)". The record is from RNAcentral. Lineage: Eukaryota; Viridiplantae; Streptophyta; Magnoliopsida; Solanales; Solanaceae.
GCACCCCUCGAUCCUGUGAUUUGAACGCGGUCGCUUGUUGGAGCAUAUCGGCUAAUUUGACACCACGAAUGUAUAAACCACACAAAAGCACGCAAAACAAUCAAUCAAGCAAAAAAAAAUAAAAACAAUCCAAAAUUUGGUGUCCAGUCCAAUUUAUUACAAAUCGAAAUAGAAAAUACUGAAAUAAACCUACACUAACCUAUACUAGUCCUAAAUUAUACUCUACCCGAUGCCUUGGUCCUUCAUCACAGACAUCCUCCGUGUACAAAAUACCUCAGGGCAUUCCCCAACGAAUAAACACAAAUACCUCGGGGCAUUCCCCAGCCAAAUGAAUACAUUUUUAAUGCAAGAAGACCACAAUCAUUCAAUAAUAUUUCAAACAUUCCAUAUUUUAUAAUCCCUAAAUUUGCUUAUCACCCCUAUUGUUUGCCUAUCGAUUUGACGACCUAAUCUUGAUACUAUCAAGUUCGAUGACAUCAAUGAAUCAAAAUUAGUCCGUAUUCAUUUUUUUACUUUUCAAAUCCCAUCUCACUUUUAUUCUUGAUCAAUUAACCAAUUCCAAUACAGAAUCAAAACUACGAUAAUCAUAGACGUUCAAACAUACUAUAAAAAAUUAUAUCAUCAAUCAACAUGAACCACGCAACUCACAACAUCACCUCACCAAAUUAAGUAAAACAAAGAGAAGGAGUUGAAGAAUUGGACCUUAGAAGAAGCUUUCAAAAUUGAUGUAUUAUUCCAAUAAAAACCCGGUACAAUCCGCGUCGAGAACCUUGAUUCAUACCUCAAUCACGAACUUGCCAACUCGAUCAAAACCCCAAAACAGCGGAGAAAGCCACAAAAAAAAUCCAAAUCUCAAUUUUUGAACCAAGCUUGAAAUGAGUCAUGCCAGGUUUGUUAUUUUUGGUGAAGUUCGAACUCGCUGAAGCUCCGAUGGAUCUCGACAGUCAGCGAAACAAUGUUUUCCCAGUGAGAUUUUGCCAGAGAACUAGAAAUGAAAGAGAAUUCGAAGAUUUUGAGGGUGCGGAUGGUCUAAUUCCGGUAAGGGAAUACCGAUUUCGGCGAGAAACUCGCCGAAAAAACCAAACCAGUCGUCCUUUUUCUCAUGUAUUCCCUCUCUUCGAUCGAUUCUCUCCCUUUCUCAAUUUGGAUUGUCUUCUCUCCGAUCUCACGCUCAGAUUUGUCUCUCACUGUGGUUGUGUGUAUGUAUAAUGGUUUUGUGUGAAGGCAGGUGUAUUAAUGGAAUAAACUCAUCAGUGAUGGUGUCUAUAUAUUCCUCUUUCCCGUAUUCUAUAUGUGUAUAUGUUGAAUUGAGAUCUUUUUCUUUAUGGUUACCGUGAUGUUCGUCCAUGGCGUGUAGGUGUGUUCGUGGUAUAUGGGUCUUCUCUAAAAAUGGAAAAAAAUGGUCAGAAUGUUACUGUGUGGACAUCUCUGUAUUGUUAUCUAUUGUAUUCUUAUGUAUUCGCCUCCCAGUUUCUGUGUGAAGUGCGUGUGUAUAUUGUGAAUUACAGUGAGUGAGAAUUGUGUGGUAGUGGAGUAGGGUAGGUGGGCUAGUGAGGUGCGGGUAGGGGUAGGAUGUGAUGUGGUUUAUUUUGAUUGGAUGGGUUGUUAGGAUAAGAUAAAAUUAGCUAGGGAUUGUUAUUUUUGUCAUUUUGUGGAGAUUAUCACACGGGGUAGGGUACGCGGUAGGAUAAGGUAAAAAUGUGUAAAAAUGAUAUAGGGAAGGGACAAAAUUAGGUGUCUACAUCAUGCCCCCUUUGAAUGUAAACACAAAGUAUUUUUGAACAAAGAAGUAGACAACAAGACAGAAUUUUGUCCCGAUCAUUAUUCGAAGGAAAAAUAGAAGAAAGAAGAGCAAUCGAGUAUUGACUUAGGACACCCUACCUACCCAAGUUAUGAGGGAAUCAAGUGACAGGAUUCUCAAAGGAUUGAAAGGAGAUGGACUUUACCGAGUUGAAGAGUCGAGUGAGGUCCCGAUGAGGUUCCAGUCCGCGCAUCUGUUAUUACAUCAUAAAUAAAAGUUACAAGUUAAAACAUAAAUAAAAUUACAAAAUCAUAUCUAUGCAGUUAGUUUCUUUUGGACUCUUAACUUGAGUUUCAUCACUCUAUUCUUCAGGCGGGCUCCUGACUUGCAAUUUCAUCACUUGUUGCUUGGUUUUCAAUCUCUUCACCCUGUUCUUCAGGCGGGUUCCUAACUUGCUAUUUUUUCAAUCUGUUGACUUUAAAUUUCUUCACCUUGUUGCUUGACUUUCAACUUCUUCACCUUGUUACUUGACUUUCAACUUUUUCACCAUGUUGCUUGACUUUUCAUUUAUUCACCCUGCUCUUCAGGCGGGCUCCUGAAAUCACAUCAAUACUAAAAAGAAAAAUUAUCCCAAACAAAGAUUAUUAUAAAGAGAUUUCAUUUGUCAGGAAAGCGAAGUUCCAAACACAGGAUUUAAAUUUUCCCCAGUUUCUCAUCAAAGGACUUUUGGGAAAGUCACAUCAUUAUAGGAAUCAAAGGGAAUGACUAGACUAAAAGGAACAUCUUAUAAGAAUCAAAGGGAAUGACUCAACUAAAAGGUACGUCUUCUAGGAAUCAAGGGAUAUGACUCGACUAAAAGGUACUUCUUAUAGGAAUCAAGGGGCAAGGGGAAUGACUUGACUAAGUCUAAUGACUCGACUAGGGAAUGACUAGACUAAAAGGAACAUCUUAUAAGAAUCAAAGGGAAUGACUCAACUAAAAUGUACGUCUUAUAGGAAUCAAGGGGAAUGACUUGACUAAAAGGUACGUCUUUUAGGAAUCAAAUGACUCGACUAAAGGCACAUCAUCUAGGAAUCAAGGGGAAUGACUAGACUAAAAGGUACGUCUUCUAGGAAUCAAAGGUAAUGACUCGACUAAAAGGUACGUCAUCUAGGAAUCAAGGGGAAUGACUCGACUAAAAGGUACGUUUUCUAGGGGUCAAGGGGAACGAUUCAACUAAAAGGUACGUCUUCUAGGGGUCAAAGGGAAUGACUCGACUAAAAGGUACAUUUUAUAGGAAUCAAGGGGAAUGACUCGACUAAAAGGUACGUCUUCUAGGGGUCAAGAGGAAUGACUCGACUAAAAGGUACGUCUUCUAGGAAUCAAAUUAAAUAACUCGACUAAAAGGUACGCCUUAUAGGAAUCAAGGAGAAUGACUCGACUAAAAGGUACGUCUUCUAGGGGUCAAGGGAAAAGACUCGACUAAAAGAUAUGUCUUAUAGGAAUUAAAGAAGAUGACUCGAAUAAAAGGUACGUCUCAUAGGAGUGAAGGUUCAAUUUAAGAAGUGUAUCACCUAGCAAAUGAAAACUAAAAUCCCUGGACAAGAAAGUGUCUCCGAGGGAUAUAGGAUGAUGAUUUUUUACAAUGACUUGAUUAUUAAACCUGUCCAACAACAUUGUUUCCUGCAUUUGUAGGAGUGAGGCAUUGCAGACCUUGAUAUUUAUGUUCCGAAUUCCUUGAUUUAAAGGUAAUAUGUUUCCUAUUUCAUCAAAAAAAACUUGUGAGUUAAAAAAUAUGGUGGCUGGCUUGUGGCUUUAGCUUUUGCGACAAUCGCUCUUGCCCCAGUCACAUUUAACCUUGCUUCCAACCAUUAGCAUAUGUCAUUGACUUGUUGAAUCAGUGAUCCAAACUCAUAUUAGGAAGAGUGACUCUGCCACAAACACAGUAUCUCUGCUUUGCCAUGUUUCUCAGUUAAACCCUUUGAACUAUGGUAUUUCCGUGGGUUCCCAGACUUGUCUAUUGACAAAACUUUCUAUAUGUCCUUUUUUCAGCUCACAAUUAUAUCUCUUUCAUGCGCUGGCCUUUUUGUCUUGCUUUGUACAAUUGAAGAAGUUGGUAGCCAAUUUUAAAAUCUUUUCUCACUUGUUUCGACAUGGACUAGACUCAAAGACAAGAGCGAAAAUGACCAUGAUUUUUUAUUUGGAUAACUGACUCAAGAAAAAUAAAAUAAAAAUAAAACAAAGAGAAGAAAGAAAAGACAAUGAAUGUACCCAUUAAAAAAAAUAAUGAAAAAUGUAUCUAAAAAUGACAGUUAACUCUAUUGAUUAUGCCAUGCAUUUUGGAUUAAGUUGCCUGAUCUUUCAUCUAAACCUUCUACUAAUUGUUGUUGAGUUAAUGACCUUGAAACUGAAUUGCUUCCUUGGGCCAAUUUGCAUUCAAAAAUCUCAUUUGGCUAGUGGCACCUUGAAGGGUUUUCGCCAACAAGCCUCUCUCAUCUUCUUUUCCUCAACUCACCAUAGUCUUAUGGUGUCUGUAAGAGUUUUCACCAACGAGACUCUCUUAUCUUCGUUUCUCUCAACUCAUAGUCGUCUUACGAUGCCCAUGAGAGUUUUCACCGAUAAGAAUCUCUCAUUUUUAUUGCUCUCUUGAUUUCUUAUGCCGAGGAAGACAAGUGGUUCCCAAAUGCAUCAUCAUAUCCCUUGCAUGCUUAGCCUUAACAUCCUCAAAGAUUGAUCCGAAGGUCUUUCUUUGGUUGUAACUUGGCUUUUGGAUAGGGUUAGAAAGAAGGGAUGGCAUGGGGCCCAAACGGCACUUAAAGUGGGGUAGGACUUACAAUUUUUAGAAACGACUCAAAUAAUGAGGAUUAACUUAUGCCCCAGUUUUUUACUAGGCAAUUCUAAAUUAUUUAUUUGGUUGGACCAAGCCCUAAGUAGGGCAUCCUACGUAUCUCACCCCCGAGAGAAAAGAAUCGGGUCAUGCGUAGUUCUGGCAACUUGUUUUGCUUGAUUCUGAUUUCAUUUUUCUUUUGACUUCUUUUUUUUUCUUUGUAAUUUUUCUGACUCUAAUUUACUUACUUUUUUUCUUCCUUCUUGGACACAUUUUCCUCUUUUUUUGAAAAAACUUUCUGACUCUACUCUCUUGCUCUAUACUUUUCUUUUGAACUUUAUUGGUUUUAUCUUGAUUCCAAAAAAGGGGUAUGAAAGAAAAUAACACUAAGGCUUAAAUGGGGUAGACAAAGGAUGACACAAUGUUUGAAUAACAGAAUAAAAUGUCUUUGUCAUAUCAAUCCUUGAAAAUGCACGUACAUAUCAUGCAAUAUAAAAGUGAAAGAUGAAGAUCAUUUGACACCUUAAAACCACUAUCUUUAAUUGAACAUGUGUGCUACUUCUUCCUCUACACUUGUCAAACAUAUAACUCCACCUUUGUUGUAUAUCCCUUACAUUGAAUGACUCAUACUUUCGUCGAGUUGAUUUUCUUUAUAUUCCUCUUGAUAGGAUCACGCAGACACUGUUUGACCUAAUCGAGACAUGUCUUUUAAUUGAUGACCAAGUUAUUCUUGUGAUUCUCAAAAUAAUUGCCUUAAUUUUUAGAAAAGGCUUCAACUUGUCACCAAAUAUCUCAGUACUCUACUAUUUUCUUAGAUGUUUCUCCUAACUUUAGCCCUCUGAUUCAAUGUUCAUGCUUAAACUGCAUUUUAAGAUCUGACUGAAAAUUCCGCAGGCAUGUCAUAUUACUAGAAUCAACAUAAAAUAUGUUGUAUAAAGAAAACAAACAAACAACACAUUUGAAACAUAAAAGGAAAGGGACACUUCAUUUAGUUGAAAUAAAAGAUAAAAGGGUUUGAACAUAAACGACGAAGGGACAAACAAGAUAGAUCUCGAACUACAACCCUGAAAUACUUCAAAAAAUAGAAAAGAAAACAAAACAAACUACCAGACCUCUUCCUAGUGGGGAGAUGGGUGACUUCUCAUUUGCUCAGCCUGACAACUUAGCCACUGGUUUGCAUAUCAACAUGACCAGAGCUUCCCUCACUGUCAAUGUUCUGCACCAUAAUCGAUCCAUCUUGAAUCAUCUUUUCAAUUUCCCUUUUCAAAUCUCAACAAUCUUUAAUACUAUGACCCUGAGCAUCAGAAUUAUACGCACAUCAUACAUUAGGGUCAAAAUUUCUUGAACAUCGAUUAAGAGUGCACUUAAGGAGAGGAGUGAUCAUGCUCCAUUGUACCAAUUUCUGAAACAAACUAGCAUACGACUCUCUAAUUGGUGUGAAGUUAUCUCUCGACUUCUGCCUCAUUUCAUCAUUUGGCUUGGAUAAAAAAUCAGGCUUAGAAGGGUUUUGGUAUAUUUGUGAAGUUAGAGGAUGACUCUGAAUUGUUGGUGUUUUCCACUGUGGGUAAGAUGGGGGUUGAUUAUGUGGUUGUGCAUUAUAUACUGAAUAUGGAGGUGGAGGAGCAGAGUAUAAUGGAUUUUAGGAGUGAUUAUGUGGAGCUUGGGCAUGACCUUGGGUUUGAGCCUGAGAGUGGCGACAACGGGGUCUUCUUGACCGUGCCCGCUGUCCAACUACAAUAGAGGAUGCAACUUCCUCAUUCUUUGUCUCCACAAUACUUCCUGAACCCUUUUGAAUUGCUUGAGUUGUCACUUUCAAUGUUGCAAAACUCACAAUGUGACCAGUCUUAAUUCCCUCUUCUAUCAUCUCCCCCAUUUUAAGGACCUCAAUAAAUGACUUGCCUAAUGCAGGUAACAAGUUUUGAUAAUAUAUUUCAUCCUGUGCUUGAAUAAACACCUUUGCUAUUUUGCUUUCUUUCAUUGGCGAUUUUACUCUAACAGCUUGUUCGCGCCAUCUGAUCGCAUACUUUCUGAAACUCUCAGUAUUCUUCUUUUUUAUACUAGUUAGGGAUUUUUCGUCAGAGAUCAACUCCACAUUGUAUUGAAAUUGUUGCACAAAUUCAUUAGCUAGGUUAUCCCAACUAAUCUACUUGUCAAUGUCUUGGUCAACAAACCAUUUCGAAGCUAGGUCUAAAAGACUCCCCCAGAAAUAAUCCUUGAGUAGUUCUUCCUUCCCUCUAGCGCCCCUCAAUUGGUUACAAUAGCGACUCAAAUGUGCCACUGGGUCCCCAUGUCCAUCAUAGUUCUCAAACUUUGGCAUUUUAAAGUCAGGUGGAAAGUUGACACCUGGAAACAUGCAUAAGUCCUUAUAUGAGACACUUUUGUAACCCUCAAGUCCUUGCAAGUUCUUCAUAGCCAGUUCCAAACUUCUCAAUUUUUUGGUCAUUUCCUCUUGUCCUUCUUUCAUAACAAGCUUCUCAGUGUUAGGAGGAAAUUCAAGUGGGUGAGUGUCACUGUAAAGACCAGUCAACUUGAAUGUAGGCUCGAAAGUGUACCGCUGAUCACCAGUAAUAUUCAAUCCAGGCUUUCUUGUAGAGUAGGGAGGCACAACUUGUGGACGAACAUCAAAAGUAGGAGCUUCAGGUGGGGGUGGCACCGCAAAAGCAUGAACAACAGGUGAAGCCGAGUAUGUGGUAGUCUUGGAUUGGGGAGUGAGGAAAUAAACAUUAGAAGUGGUUGGGUAUUGUUGCCCCAAAGUCGAUCCUGAUGCAUGUUGUGGCAUAUCAACAAAAAUGGGAAAUUGUGCAUAUGACACGAGAGGCAAGAUGGAAAGAUAUUCCAGAUUAUCAGUGGGAACUGGAGGAGGAGGUAACCCAUUAGCCCAAGCUCGAUGCAUUCCUAUCAUUUGCUGCCUCAAUUUCCGAAUCACUUCAUUAGCUCCUACAUUCUCACUUCUCAAACUCCCUAUCUGAUAGUGACAACAAACUCGGUAUCCUUGUUAGCCAUAACCUUCUCUAUGACUUGGUGCAAUAUGGAGGACCAGCUAAAAUGCCACAACCCAACCACCUCAAACUAACUGAACAAGAGAUAACAAAUGCGUUAGAGUCUAACACUUUCUCAAAAUCUCCCCUUUUUUUCUUUUUGAAAAGGUCACCGAACCCAAGAAGGCUACCUACGUAUAUCACCCCCUGAGAGAGGAGAAUCAGGUGUGCGUAGUUCAUGAAAUCUUGCCAAAAUGGUCAAAUAAACUCUUUUUCUUUUUCUUGAAACUUUAAAAAUAAAAGGAAAUAACAAAUUGUCAAAAGAAUUGACGAAAAUCUUUUUUGCAUUUUUCGGCUUUAAUAACCUAUACAAAAUGAAACCUAUGAUUACCAAAGAAAAGUCAUUUUGGAUUUUCGAUUUUGAAUUUCAUAUGAAAAUAAAACUUGAAACUAUUAAAGGAAAAUGUUUUUGUAGUUUUCUUUUUAGAGAUGUAUAUAAAACACUUACUUUAAAUAAAGAGUGAAGAAAAUCUUUUAGAAUUUUUCAAAUAAGAUCCCCGAACCAAAAAUAGGUUGCCUACAUAUCUCACAUCCCGAAAGAGGAGAAUCAGGGGUGCGUAGUUCAUCCAGAUUGGAAAAUUAAUGAUUAAAUAAUCGACUAAACCCGGACUUGAGAUACCAGACCACAAACAGAAGAUGAAAAACAUCAAUAAAAUCUUUUUAAGUUUUCAAUUUGACACUUAACCUAAAAAUGACACCAAUAAAUAUGCAAGGAAAAUCUUUUUUGAUAUUUUCGUUAUACGAAAUGUAUAAAACUUCUACCAGUUUUUAAAUUUUUCUUUUAUAAAAGGCUCCUAUUGAAAAAUAAUCUUUUUGAAAUUUUUGAAUUAUGAAUGCAUGCUAAAGGAGACAAAGCAAAAAACUUUCUGAUGUUUUUGAUUUUUGAGAAAUGAGUGCAAAAGGAAAAAAAAUCUUUCUGAAUUUUGAAUUUUGAAAAACAAAAGCCAUAAAGAACUCUGAAAACUAGAAACUCUCUUUUUUUUUCUUUUUGACUCACUAUUCUUUUUUUUUUUUUUUUUUUUACUUCUAACACAUGUUUUCCCCAAAUUAGUCCAUCAAAUGACCAUAUUACCCUCAAAGAUGCAACAAUUAACACGUAGGGAUGCUUUAGAGGCAAGUCUCCUACAAAAGGCCAAGUGGGCCCCUCUAGGUCUUCAAUAUGAUGCAUAUAAACAUGACCUACAAGGUGACCUACGUUGGGGUUCACUAACAAGGCUGUUCGGAGGAGCGUAUAGUCGAUAGUGGCUGCUUUGCUUUCCACCUACUCCAUAACAUCGAUGGCUCCUCCCCUAAAAUAAGGGUGACUCAACUAGAGGUCGUGUACAACACGUGUACUAUGGACUUGUUGCAGAAAGAAUGACUCGGGCUAUGCACAUGAUGCUAGAUAUAAAGCAGCAACACAUAAGAUAAAAUUAUAAACAAAGAGCAUGUAGGCACUCAAAAAAAUAACAAAAAGCAACGCAAAUAUAUGUCUAUACACGUAUAGUGACAAACUAAGCCGAUACAACUCCAAAUUAAGCUUGAAUUCUGAAAAUAGAUCUCCAACGGAGUCGCCAGAGCUGUCACACCCCUUUUUAACUCCAAAAAGAUAUUAUUUUAAAAGUUUGAAAGGGUUUUCGUUAUAAGUGACAAAAGAUAAAAAUUUGCUUCGAAAAGGACCUUUUAUAUUCAAAACUCAGAGUCGCCACUUGGCAUAAUCCGGUGUGCCAAGUCACCUUUGAAAAAUCCUUUUCAAAACGAUUUGACUCAAACUGGUUUGCGAACAGAGAUUUCAGCUAAGGAAUUCUGUUGACCGACGGAAAGGUGUUAGGCACCCCUCGAUCCUGUGGUUUGAACACGGUCGCUUGUUGGAGCGUAUCGGCUAAUUUGACACCACGAAUGUAUAAACCACACAAAAGCACGCAAAACAAUCAAUCAAGCAAAAAAAAUAAAAACAAUCCAAAAUUUGGUGUCCAGUCCAAUUUAUUACAAAUUGAAAUAGAAAAUACUGAAUAAACCUACACUAACCUAUACUAGUCCUAAAUUAAACUCUACCCGAUGCCUUGGGCCUUCAUCACAGACAUCCUCCGUGUACAAAAUACCUCAGGGCAUUCCCCAACGAAUAAACACAAAUACCUCGGGGCAUUCCCCAGCCAAAUGAAUACAUUUUCAAUGCAAGAAGACCACAAUCAUUCAAUAAUAUUUCAAACAUUCCACAAUUUAUAAUCCCUAAAUUUGCCUAUCACCCCUAUUGUUUGCCUAUCGAUUUGACGACCUAAUCUUGAUACUAUUAAGUUCGAUGACAUCAAUGAAUUAAAAUUAGUCCGUAUUCAUUUUUUUACUUUUCAAAUCCCGUCUCACUUUCAUUCUUGAUCAAUUAACCAAUUCCAAUACAGAAUCAACCAAUCAAAACUACGAUAAUCAUAGACGUUCAAACAUACUAUCAAAAAUUAUAUCAUCAAUCAACAUGAACCACGCAACUCACAACAUCACCUCACCAAAUUAAGUAAAACAAAGAGGAGGAGUUGAAGAAUUGGACCUUAGAAGAAGCUUUCAAAAUUGAUGUAUUAUUCCAAUAAAAACCCGGUACAAUCCGCGUCGAGAACCUCGAUUCAUACCUCAAUCACGAACUUGCCAACUCGAUCAAAACCCCAAAACAAUGGAGAAAACCACAAAAAAAAAAAAUCCAAAUCUCAAUUUUCGAACCAAGCUUGAAACGAGUCACGCUAGGUUUGCUAUUUUUGGUGAAGUUCGAACUCGCUGAAGCUCCGAUGGAUCUCGGCAGUCAGCGAAACAAUGUUUUCCCAGUGAGAUUUUGCCAGAGAACUAGAAACGAAAGAGAAUUCGAAGAUUUUGAGGGUGCGGAUGGUCUAAUUCCGGUAAGGGAAUACCGAUUUCGGUGAGAAACUCGCCGGAAAAACCAAACCAGCCGUCCUUUUUCUCAUGUAUUCCCUCUCUCCGAUCGAUUCUCUCCCUUUCUCGAUUUGGAUUGUCUUCUCUCCGAUCUCACGCUCAGAUUUGUCUCUCACUGUGGUUGUGUGUAUGUAUAAUGGUUUUGUGUGAAGGCAGGUGUAUUAAUGGAAUAAACUCAUCAGUGAUGGUGUCUAUAUAUUCCUCUUUCCCGUAUUCUAUAUGUGUAUAUGUUGAAUUGGGAUCUUUUUCUUUAUGGUUACCGUGAUGUUCGUCAAUGGCGUAUAGGUGUGUUCGUGCUAUAUGGGUCUUCUCUAAAAAUGGAAAAAUAUGGUCAGAAUGUUACUGUGGGGACAUCUAUAUUGUUAUCUAUUGUAUUCUUAUGUAUUCGCCUCCCUAUUUCUAUGUGAAGUAUAUGUGUAUAUUGUGAAUUCCAG